This 506-nucleotide ribosomal RNA is filed under the name uncultured bacterium. RNAcentral's name for it is "partial 16S ribosomal RNA". It matches the Rfam family "Bacterial small subunit ribosomal RNA", at positions 29 to 523 of the family's 1533-position model. The record is from RNAcentral.
AGUGAACGCUGGCGGUAGGCCUAACACAUGCAAGUCGAACGGCAGCACAGAGGAGCUUGCUCCUUGGGUGGCGAGUGGCGGACGGGUGAGGAAUACAUCGGAAUCUACUCUGUCGUGGGGGAUAACGUAGGGAAACUUACGCUAAUACCGCAUACGACCUACGGGUGAAAGCAGGGGAUCUUCGGACCUUGCGCGAUUGAAUGAGCCGAUGUCGGAUUAGCUAGUUGGCGGGGUAACGGCCCACCAAGGCGACGAUCCGUAGCUGGUCUGAGAGGAUGAUCAGACACACUGGAAAUGAGACACGGUCCAGACUCCUACGGGAGGCAGCAGUGGGGAAUAUUGGACAAUGGGCGCAAGCCUGAUUCAGCCAUACCGCGUGGGUGAAGAAGGCCUUCGGGUUGUAAAGCCCUUUUGUUGGGAAAGAAAUCCAUCUGGUUAAUACCCGGAUGGGAUGACGGUACCCAAAGAAUAAGCACUGGCUAACUUCGUGCCAGCCGCCGCCGUAA